Molecule: unclassified non-coding RNA, 419 nt
Filed under: soil metagenome
Description: partial contains 5.8S ribosomal RNA, internal transcribed spacer 2, and large subunit ribosomal RNA
Rfam family: 5.8S ribosomal RNA (bases 1-120)
Source: RNAcentral
GAUGAAGAACGCAGCGAAAUGCGAUAAGUAAUGUGAAUUGCAGAAUUCAGUGAAUCAUCGAAUCUUUGAACGCAUCUUGCGCUCCUUGGUAUUCCUUGGAGCAUGCCUGUUUGAGUAUCAUGAGCAAAUCUCAAAGUCAAUUCCUUUUGUUAAUUCAAUUGGUUUUGCUUUGGACUUGGAGGUCUUGCAGAUUUUCACAGUCUGCUCCUCUUAAAUGCAUUAGCUGGAUCUCAGUAAUUAUGCUUGGUUCCACUCGGCGUGAUAAGUAUCACUCGCUGAGGACACUGUUAAAAAGGUGGCCAGGAAAAUACUGAUUGAACCGCUUCUAACGGUCUAUUAAGUUAGACAAUUACCCUUAAGUUCGAUCUCAAAUCAGGUAGGACUACCCGCUGAACUUAAGCAUAUCAAUAAGCGGAGGA